AUUGAACGCUGGCGGCAGGCCUAACACAUGCAAGUCGAGCGGAUGAAGGGAGCUUGCUCCUGGAUUCAGCGGCGGACGGGCGAGUAAUGCCUAGGAAUCUGCCUGGUAGUGGGGGAUAACGUCCGGAAACGGGCGCUAAUAUCGCAUACGUCCUGAGGGUGAAAGUGGGGGAUCUUCGGACCUCACGCUAUCAGAUGAGCCUAGGUCGGAUUAGCUAGUUGGUGGGGUAAAGGCCUACCAAGGCGACGAUCCGUAACUGGUCUGAGAGGAUGAUCAGUCACACUGGAACUGAGACACGGUCCAGACUCCUACGGGAGGCAGCAGUAGGGAAUAUUGGACAAUGGGCGAAAGCCUGAUCCAGCCAUGCCGCGUGUGUGAAGAAGGUCUUCGGAUUGUAAAGCACUUUAAGUUGGGAGGAAGAGCAGUAAGUUAAUACCUUGCUGUUUUGACGUUACCAACAGAGUAAGCACCGGCUAACUUCGUG
This 484-nucleotide ribosomal RNA is filed under the name uncultured bacterium. Its description in RNAcentral is "partial 16S ribosomal RNA". It matches the Rfam family "Bacterial small subunit ribosomal RNA", at positions 30 to 507 of the family's 1533-position model. The record is from RNAcentral.